RNAcentral lists this ribosomal RNA (685 nucleotides) under Spadella cephaloptera. RNAcentral describes it as "partial 16S ribosomal RNA". The record is from RNAcentral. Lineage: Eukaryota; Metazoa; Chaetognatha; Sagittoidea; Phragmophora; Spadellidae.
UUUUUGUAUUACGACUAAAGGACCCGAAUUUAGGUGAUCUAAAAAAAAAAAUUUUUUUGCCCCCGUAGAAUAGAGGGGUAUGUUAGAAAGUACUAAAACAGUAAACCGAACCUAAAAAACUGAUAUUGAUUCAAAUUAUAAAAUAAAUAAUAAAACAGAGAAUCGAAGAGGAUUAAAAAGAAGAAAAUAUUUUCUCAAAAAUUUUUGGAUGUACGAUAAUAAUCUAUAUUUAAGAAUAAUCAGAAUAAAAAUCUUUAGACAAAAAUUUAUUUAAUGAAUUUAAUAUAAAAUUUUCCCCGACUGUUUAACAAAAACAUUUCUUCAACAAAGUAUUAGAAGUAAGCCCUGCUCAGUAAUCUAAAUAAAACAGCCAAAUAUUUGCUAAGGUAGCAUAAUUACUAGCCGUUUAAUUAACGGAUUGUCUGAAUGGGUAAACGAGGGAAAAGCUUUCUUAAAUAAAUAGAUAAGUAGGGGGUAAAAUCUCCCCCGAAAUGAAAUUAGACGAUAAGACCCUUUAAUCUUAAUAAAAAAAAUUUUGUUGGGGCAACAAAGAGACAAAUUCUCUUAUAAAAAAAAAUUUUCUCUUAAAGGAAAAAAAGAUACUAAAGGGAUAACAGCAUAAUAUUUUCUUAUAAGACCUUAUUAUAAGAAAAGAGUAUGACCUCGAUGUUGAACCAGAGAAAAU